GUAGGCGGUUUGUUAAGCGAAUAGUGAAACCUGGUGGCUCAACCAUACAGACUAUUAUUCGAACUGGCAAACUCGAGAGUGGUAGAGGUCACNUGGAAUUUCUUGUGUAGGAGUGAAAUCCGUAGAUAUAAGAAGGAACACCGAUGGCGUAGGCAGGUGACUAGACCAUUUCUGACGCUAAGGCACGAAAGCGUGGGGAGCGAACCGGAUUAGAUACCCGGGUAGUCCACGCCGUAAACGAUGGAUACUAGCUGUUGGAGGUAUCGACCCCUUCAGUAGCGAAGCUAACGCGUUAAGUAUCCCGCCUGUGGAGUACGGCCGCAAGGCUAAAACAUAAAGGAAUUGACGGGGACCCGCACAAGCGGUGGAUCGUGUUCUUUAAUUCGAUGAUAAACGAAGAACCUUACCAGGGCUUGACAUCCAGGGAAGGUCUGCGAAAGCGGACUGUGCCUUUUGGAACCCUGUGACAGGUGCUGCAUGGCCGUCGUCAGCUCGUGUCGUGAGAUGUUUGGUUAAGUCCAUCAACGAGCGCAACCCUUGCAACUAAGUUGGAUUUUUCUAGUUGGACNUGCCCCGGUAACGGGGGAGGAAGGAGGGGGAUGAUGUCAGGUCAGUAUUGCCCUUACGUCCUGGGCUAGGAAACACGAUACAAUGGCUAGUACAAUGCCCAGCGAANCCGCGAGG
This 684-nucleotide ribosomal RNA is filed under the name uncultured Candidatus Saccharibacteria bacterium. RNAcentral's name for it is "bacterial SSU rRNA". It matches the Rfam family "Bacterial small subunit ribosomal RNA", at positions 571 to 1262 of the family's 1533-position model. The record is from RNAcentral. Lineage: Bacteria; Candidatus Saccharimonadota.